AUGGAUAUUAAUAAUCACUACUGUUUCACAGGCUGCAGGUUCGAAUCCUGGGACUGGAGUGAGCACCUGCUGUUAGCCCCAGCUUCUGCCAACCUAGCAGUUCGAAAACAUGCCAAUGGACUUUUUUCAUGUCAGGAGCAACUUGAGAAACUGCAAGUUGCUUCUGGUGUGAGAAAAUUGGCCAUCUGCAAGGACGUUGCCCAGGGGACGCCUGGAUUUUUUUUGGAUGUCUAACCACCUUGUGGGAGGCUUCUUUCAUGUCCCCGCAUGGAGCUGGAGCUAACAGAGGAAGCUCAUCUGCGCUCUCCCUGGGUUGGAUUUGAACUGGCAACCUUCAGAUCAGCAACCCAACCUUCAAGUCAUCAGUCUUUCCGGCACAAGGGUUUAACCCACUGCACCACUGGGGGCUCCACAGGGAUAGGCAAGUAAGACGACGACAUCAUCAUCAUCAUCAUCAUCAUCAUCAUGGCCCCUUUUCUGUUAUCUUAUUCCCAGAGCCUUUCUCAUUUCAACAUGCUUCCGUUUUUCACUGGAUGGGUUGGUGCAAUGGCCAUGUUGGCUUUUAAUAUGUACAGUUGAGUCUCACUUAUCCAACAUAAACGGGCCGGCAGAACGUUGGUUAAGCGAAUAUGUUGGAUAAUAAGGAGAAGCCUAUUAAACAUCAAAUUAGGUUAUGACUUUACAAAUUAAGCACCAAAACAUCAUGUUAGACAACAAAUUUGGCAGAAAAAAAUAGUUCAAUACGCAGUAAUGCUAUGUUGUAAUUACUGUAUUUAUGAAUUUAGCACCAAAAUAUCACGAUAUAUUGAAAACAUUGACUACAAAAAUGCGUUGGAUAAUCCAGAACAUUGGAUAAGUGAGACUCUACUGUAAUAGGUUUAAUUUUUUCUACAUUGUUUAUAUGGGGCUGGUUCUUUAAUGCUUUUUAUUUUUUAUAUUUAGAUUGUUUUGGCUUUUUAAAAUGUACCUUGUUUUCAUGUACCAUCUUGGCCCCAUAGGUUAGAAAAGUGAGAUAUAAGUUCAAUAAACAAGUACAUACAAUUUAGCUAAACAAACAUUUAGGAAUAAUGUGGCAAUGGAUUGUUGGAGGGCUGUGGCAGAGUCAUUCUGAUUCUCACAGUCCCCGAAUCCUAAAUUUUCCAAGUUCUGAUAAUUUUCAGCUAUGCCACUACCUAUUAUGCCAUACUCCCUGCCAAAGCAUUCCAUAUGCAACCUCAAAUUAAAAAUCAUGGAUUAAAGGUAAGACUUAACUUUGCAACACCCCUCACUGAGUGAUUUGACUUUUUCAAAAGCAUGUUUGCUCAGUGCUUGCCAACUACUUAAUCAGCGAAGGUCGUGGUGGAUGUUCAGCCCGAUGAGCUGCUGUGGACCUCUGCGUAUGUCACAGCCCCCACUGACUUUAAUCAGAUUUUUUCUCAUUAAAAUCCAAACCAACAGCGAGCAAAGGCUGAAGAUUUGGCUUGUUGAAGCAGGAGGCGAUGGAGAUCUUUGGAGAUAGCCACUUAGAAGGUGGUAUCAUUAUCUUUCAGCCGAGCCAGACUUGGCAGUCGUGUCAAAUGAACUCUUAUUUUGCUUUAACGGCAUCCGCAGCCGCUGUCUUAUCAAAAGUUGGAAUGGUAGCAUAUGUUUGUAUGGGGGGUGGUGAGUAGUCAAUCCGACAAAAGGAUGAGCUGAAUCCUGUAUGUGGAUCCAGGAUAUACCUUUUUCCUAAGGAGUUUCUUUGAUAGUGCAAAGAAGUUGUUGAUGGCUUCUGGAUCUUUAAAGAAUUAUUUUGAAAAAUUGCAAUUUAAAGAAAUAUUAAACUCCAUGCGUGCAUGUAUGUGUGAGAGAGCAUGUGUGAGUUUGAGACAAACUAAUUUGAAGGGUAAUCUUCAGUUGUGCAGGUUUCUAGGAUGACAAUUGUUUCUUCUUCUGUUAUGUGCAUAGCAUUGAAUUUUUGCCGCAGUUUGUAAAGCCACUCAGAGUGCCCUUCGGAGUGAGAAGGGCAGGGUAUAAAUAAAGUAUAUUAUUAUUAUUAUUAUUAUUAUUAUUAUUAUUAUUAUUAUUAUUAUUAUUAUUUUGCUAGAAAAUGAGCGAUCCAAUGGGAAUAGGGUUGUUAUUGGAAGUGCAAAAAUAGCCUAGAAGGAGAGGUCAUACAUAUACCUAGAGCAGUGGUUCUCAACCUGGGGUCUCGAGAUGUUUUUGGCCUUCAACUCCCAGAAAUCCUAACAGCUGGUAAACUGGAUAGGAUUUUUGGGAAUUGUAGGCCAAAAACAUAUGCCAUCAAGUCAGCUUUGACUUAAGAUGACCUCCCCACAGACCCAGGCUUCCUUGGUCAAGUCCAUCCAUUUACGAGGGCUAUCCAGAAAGUAGAUUACGUUUUGGAAUUAAAAAUGAACAAAGUAUAGGAGAAAACAUUUACCAUAUGCAAUUGAAAGCCAGACCACAAAUACCACUUCUCAACAUAGUCCCCAUUGAAAUCUAGGCACUUCUCAUAGUGAUAAAAGAGUUUGGAAAGUCCUUCCCCACCAAA
Molecule: long non-coding RNA, 2512 nt
Organism: Anolis carolinensis (green anole)
Lineage: Eukaryota; Metazoa; Chordata; Lepidosauria; Squamata; Anolidae
Source: Ensembl